This 74-nucleotide transfer RNA is filed under the name Gossypium arboreum. It matches the Rfam family "tRNA". Rfam says of the family: Transfer RNA (tRNA) molecules are approximately 80 nucleotides in length. Their secondary structure includes four short double-helical elements and three loops (D, anti-codon, and T loops). Further hydrogen bonds mediate the characteristic L-shaped molecular structure. tRNAs have two regions of fundamental functional importance: the anti-codon, which is responsible for specific mRNA codon recognition, and the 3' end, to which the tRNAs corresponding amino acid is attached (by aminoacyl-tRNA synthetases). tRNAs cope with the degeneracy of the genetic code in two manners: having more than one tRNA (with a specific anti-codon) for a particular amino acid; and 'wobble' base-pairing, i.e. permitting non-standard base-pairing at the 3rd anti-codon position. The record is from Rfam by way of RNAcentral. Lineage: Eukaryota; Viridiplantae; Streptophyta; Magnoliopsida; Malvales; Malvaceae.
GGUGUUGUGGUGUAGUUAGUUAUCACGCUAGUCUAACACAUUAAAGGUCUCCGGUUCGAGUCCGGGCAACACUA